Molecule: long non-coding RNA, 441 nt
Filed under: Setaria viridis
Lineage: Eukaryota; Viridiplantae; Streptophyta; Magnoliopsida; Poales; Poaceae
Description: long non-coding RNA (SVIR_LNC002265)
Source: RNAcentral
GAGAGUGCAAAAUGGAGAACCUGUUGUAGUGCGAAAUGGAGAGGCUGUUGGAGUGGAUGGAUAGUGUAUAUUUUUAGAGAGGAAACUAGUUGUUGGGAUUUGUAGAGUGAGAAAUGGAUAGUAUGUUGGAAUGAGAAACUCAAUAUGGAUAAUUUUUUUUACCAACUUAUAUAUAGAGUUAAAUGGAGAGAAAAAAUGGGUAGUUUGUUGGAGACGCUCUAAAGGCGCUGUUUCAAAAAUAUUCAUACACGUUUUUUUCCGUUCCGUCUCACCAUGUAUUCGAACAAAGCCGUGUGAGGCCCAAGCCCAACUCCCAAGCAGCAAGCACAGCAACGGAAGAAGCGAGCCCAACCAACGUCCACACAACUCUCGAGUUAAUUGUUAGGAAAGCUUCCAAUGUGCACGUUGUGUUAUCCUUAACUGCUACAAAUUGUAUGUCAU